CUAAACAUAAACCAAAACCCGGAAAUACUAAAUCAAACACCCUUUACACAAACACACCACCCCGAACCACAUAAAACAAAUACCCCCUGCCACGCCCUGACCAAACUACAAAACAAUUAACCUUAUAUACUGGCCAGGACGUGACAACGAGUCAAUUAGGUUACGAGUCAAUUAGCUGACGGGUCUAGUAGAUGACGAGUCAAGUAGAUGAUGAGUCAAGUAGAUGAUGAGUCAAGUAGAUGAUGAGUCAAGUAGAUGAUGAGUCUAGUAGCUGAUGUGUCAAUUAGCUGACGGGUCUAGUAGAUGACGAGUCUAGUAGAUGAGGAGUCAAGUAGCUGACGAGUCUAGUAGCUGACGAGUCUUGUAGCUGACGAGUCUAGUAGCUGACGAGUCAAUUAGCUGACGGGUCUAGUAGAUGACAAGUCUAGUAGCUGAUAAGUCAAGUAGAUGAUGAGUCAAGUAGCUCCUGAGUCAAGUAGCUGCUGAGUCAAUUAGCUGCUGAGCUAAGUAGAUGACGAGUCUAGUAGGUAUAUGUCAAGUAGCUGACGAGUCUAGCAGCUGAUGAGUUAAUUAGGCAAUGAGUCUAGUAGCUGAUGAGUCUAGUAGCUGAUGAGUGGCAAUACUCUCUCUCUUUUUCUAUCUCUCACUGAUUCUCUUUGUGUCACGCUCUUUCUUGCUUUCUUUUGAUCUCUCUUAUUUUCGCUCUCUCUCUCUCUCUCUCCCUCCGUCUCUCUCUCUCUCUCUUUCUCUCCCUUCAUCUCUCUCUCUCUCUCUCUUUCUCUCCCUCUGUCUCUCUCUCUCUCUUUCUCUCCCUCUGUCUCUCUCUCUCUCUUUCUCUCUCUCUGUCUCCCUUUCUAACCAUUCCCUCACACGGAAUAUCCACAGCAUACUUGGAAUGUCAGUGAAUGGAGAAGAACACAACAGAAACCAAAAUAGACAAUAUUGUAAUUCCUGAUGAGGAACUAACCACAGUAAUUUAGCGUUGGAACAUCAAGGACUGGAGGAAAGUCUCACUUCAGUAGAAACCUUUAUUGGUAUAGAAUUAACUGUGAAACGAAGUGCUUCACUGGUGUGUGUGUGUGUGUGUGUGUGUGUGUGUGUGUUGUGUGUGUGUGUGUGUUUCGUAAUUAGCUGUGAAAUGGCUUUACAGGAGUCUGUUACUCCUGGAUUUUUAUUGUCUCUUUUAGAUGAUAAUUAAACAAAGCGUGAGUGUGUAUGUGUGUGUGUGUGUGUGUGUGUGUGUGUCUGAGUCUGUGUGUCUGUGUCUGUAUCUGUGAACUGUAUUCCCAGUCAUGUGAAAUCCAUAGAUUAGGAUCUCAUGAAUUUAUUUCAAUGGACUGAUACCCUCAUAUGAUCUGGAACGAAGUAAUAUCUGUGAGACUGUUGAAUUUUGUUCAGUGUAUAUUUGAUAUCUUAUACAUUUGAGUUGUUAUGCACACGGUCUUAUCUAGAGCAACUUACAAUAGUGAGUGCAUGUAUUUGUUUUACUUUUUCAUACUGGUCCCCUGUGUGAAUCGAAGCCACAACCACAGUGUUGCAUGUGCUCUGCUCUACCAACUGAGCU
RNAcentral lists this long non-coding RNA (1564 nucleotides) under Salmo salar (Atlantic salmon). RNAcentral describes it as "lncRNA (ENSSSAG00000101508.1)". Lineage: Eukaryota; Metazoa; Chordata; Actinopteri; Salmoniformes; Salmonidae. The record is from RNAcentral.